This 744-nucleotide ribosomal RNA is filed under the name uncultured bacterium. RNAcentral's name for it is "bacterial SSU rRNA". It matches the Rfam family "Bacterial small subunit ribosomal RNA", at positions 8 to 796 of the family's 1533-position model. The record is from RNAcentral.
AGAGUUUGAUCCUGGCUCAGAGCGAACGCUGGCGGCAGGCUUAACACAUGCAAGUCGAGCGGGCGUAGCAAUACGUCAGCGGCAGACGGGUGAGUAACGCGUGGGAACAUACCUUUUGGUUCGGAACAACCCAGGGAAACUUGGGCUAAUACCGGAUAAGCCCUUACGGGGAAAGAUUUAUCGCCGAAAGAUUGGCCCGCGUCUGAUUAGCUAGUUGGUGAGGUAACGGCUCACCAAGGCGACGAUCAGUAGCUGGUCUGAGAGGAUGAUCAGCCACAUUGGGACUGAGACACGGCCCAAACUCCUACGGGAGGCAGCAGUGGGGAAUAUUGGACAAUGGGGGCAACCCUGAUCCAGCCAUGCCGCGUGAGUGAUGAAGGCCCUAGGGUUGUAAAGCUCUUUUGUGCGGGAAGAUAAUGACGGUACCGCAAGAAUAAGCCCCGGCUAACUUCGUGCCAGCAGCCGCGGUAAUACGAAGGGGGCUAGCGUUGCUCGGAAUCACUGGGCGUAAAGGGUGCGUAGGCGGGUCUUUAAGUCAGGGGUGAAAUCCUGGAGCUCAACUCCAGAACUGCCUUUGAUACUGAGGAUCUUGAGUCCGGGAGAGGUGAGUGGAACUGCGAGUGUAGAGGUGAAAUUCGUAGAUAUUCGCAAGAACACCAGUGGCGAAGGCGGCUCACUGGCCCGGUACUGACGCUGAGGCACGAAAGCGUGGGGAGCAAACAGGAUUAGAUACCCCCGUAGUCC